AGCCCCAAUGGAUUGCCUCAGUAGCGGCGAGUGAAGCGGCAAGAGCUCAGAUUUGAAAUCGUGCUUUGCGGCACGAGUUGUAGAUUGCAGGUUGGAGUCUGUGUGGAAGGCGGUGUCCAAGUCCCUUGGAACAGGGCGCCCAGGAGGGUGAGAGCCCCGUGGGAUGCCGGCGGAAGCAGUGAGGCCCUUCUGACGAGUCGAGUUGUUUGGGAAU
This 214-nucleotide ribosomal RNA is filed under the name Pichia kudriavzevii. RNAcentral's name for it is "partial 26S ribosomal RNA". It matches the Rfam family "Eukaryotic large subunit ribosomal RNA", at positions 63 to 281 of the family's 3401-position model. The record is from RNAcentral. Lineage: Eukaryota; Fungi; Ascomycota; Pichiomycetes; Pichiales; Pichiaceae.